UCAGACGAUGCGUCAUGCAUAUCAAUAAGCGGAGGAAAAGAAACUAACAAGGAUUCCCCUAGUAACGGCGAGUGAAGCGGGAAGAGCUCAAAUUUGAAAUCUUAAAGGGUUUCCCUUUACGAAUUGUAGUUUAAAGAAGUGUUUUCUGUUGAGGUUUUGGUAAAAGUUCUUUGGAAUAGGACAUCAUAGAGGGUGAGAAUCCCGUAUUUGACCUUUACUUUCAACUUUGUGAUACACUUUCAAAGAGUCGGAUUGUUUGGGAAUGCAGUCCAAAAUGGGUGGUAAAUUUCAUCUAAAGCUAAAUAUUGGCGAGAGACCGAUAGCGAACAAGUACCGUGAGGGAAAGAUGAAAAGAACUUUGAAAAGAGAGUUAAACAGUACGUGAAAUUGUCAAAAGGGAAGCGUUUGACACCAGUGUUGUUUUUCUGAAAAUCAAUUAAAGAACUGUUUAUGCUAAGUUGUUUAGACUUUAUCAGCUAACUGUUUAGUUUUGAGCUUUUCUUUAAUGCACUUUUCAGUUAACAAGUCAACAUCAAUUUCUUUUGCUGUAAAAAAGCUUGAGGAAGGUGGCUUGAGAUUCGUCUUAAGUGUUUAUAGCCUCUUGCCUAUGCAGUCGGAGAGAUUGAGGUCUGCAGCGUAGAUCCUUCGGGGCUAAAUGCAUUUGUGCUAAGUUAUAGCAUUUUAUAGACAACUUGUUGACUAUGAUUUGUCUUGUAGCUUACUCAGCUUAUGUUAUUUUACCUACGCUUAGGAUGUUGAGCGCAUGUCUCUCUCU
This 775-nucleotide ribosomal RNA is filed under the name uncultured Neocallimastigales. RNAcentral describes it as "partial large subunit ribosomal RNA". It matches the Rfam family "Eukaryotic large subunit ribosomal RNA", at positions 18 to 616 of the family's 3401-position model. The record is from RNAcentral. Lineage: Eukaryota; Fungi; Neocallimastigomycota; Neocallimastigomycetes; Neocallimastigales.